GCACCAGUAGAGUAGUAGUUAACUCAUUUCCCUCCCAUUGUUGUAAUCUACAACGUAGCAAGGAAGGAAAGGACCCGGGUGCAAAUCCCGGCUGGUGCA
This 99-nucleotide transfer RNA is filed under the name Nemania serpens. RNAcentral's name for it is "tRNA-Gly". It matches the Rfam family "tRNA". From Rfam's summary of the family: Transfer RNA (tRNA) molecules are approximately 80 nucleotides in length. Lineage: Eukaryota; Fungi; Ascomycota; Sordariomycetes; Xylariales; Xylariaceae. The record is from RNAcentral.